RNAcentral lists this transfer RNA (24 nucleotides) under Accipiter melanoleucus melanoleucus. RNAcentral describes it as "partial tRNA-Thr". The record is from RNAcentral. Lineage: Eukaryota; Metazoa; Chordata; Aves; Accipitriformes; Accipitridae.
GAAGGCUACCCCCUUUUUAGAGUU